ANAGUUUGAUACUGGCUCAGAACGAACGUUGGCGGUAUGCUUAACACAUGCAAGUCGUACGUGAAAGCUUCCUUCGGGAAGUAAGUAAAGUGGCGCACGGGUGAGUAACACGUGGAUAAUCUGCCCAGUAAUCCGGGAUAACAUCUCGAAAGAGAUGCUAAUACCUGAUAAGCCCACGAUCUCUUCGGAGAACGCGGGAAAAGGUGGGGACCUUCGGGCCUGCCGUUACUGGAUGAGUCCGCGGCCCAUUAGCUAGUUGGUAGGGUAAUGGCCUACCAAGGCUACGAUGGGUAGCUGGUCUGAGAGGAUGAUCAGCCACACUGGAACUGAGACACGGUCCAGACUCCUACGGGAGGCAGCAGUGGGGAAUUUUGCGCAAUGGGCGGAAGCCUGACGCAGCAAUACCGCGUGAGUGAUGAAGGCUUUCGGGUCGUAAAGCUCUGUCAAGUGGGAAGAAAAUGCACGGUAUUAAUACCAUCGUGCACUGACGGUACCACUGAAGGAAGCACCGGCUAACUCCGUGCCAGCAGCCGCGGUAAUACGGGGGGUGCAAGCGUUAUUCGGAAUUAUUGGGCGUAAAGGGCGCGUAGGCGGCCUCUUAAGUCAGAUGUGAAAGCCCGGGGCUCAACCCCGGAAGUGCAUUUGAAACUAAGGGACUUGAGUAUGGGAGAGGGAAGUGGAAUUCCUGGUGUAGAGGUGAAAUUCGUAGAUAUCAGGAGGAACACCGGUGGCGAAGGCGACUUCCUGGACCAAUAC
Molecule: ribosomal RNA, 756 nt
Filed under: uncultured delta proteobacterium
Lineage: Bacteria; Deltaproteobacteria
Description: partial 16S ribosomal RNA
Rfam family: Bacterial small subunit ribosomal RNA
Source: RNAcentral